GAGAUGCGUUGGCCUAAUGGUUAGCGCAACGUUGGACUCCGGAUCGAGUGGUCUGGGUUCGAACCCUGGCCUGGCUCA
Molecule: non-coding RNA, 78 nt
Organism: Desmophyllum pertusum
Lineage: Eukaryota; Metazoa; Cnidaria; Anthozoa; Scleractinia; Caryophylliidae
Source: the annotation of a GenBank genome assembly